RNAcentral lists this transfer RNA (85 nucleotides) under Acidimicrobiales bacterium. RNAcentral describes it as "tRNA-Leu". It matches the Rfam family "tRNA". Rfam says of the family: Transfer RNA (tRNA) molecules are approximately 80 nucleotides in length. Their secondary structure includes four short double-helical elements and three loops (D, anti-codon, and T loops). The record is from RNAcentral. Lineage: Bacteria; Bacillati; Actinomycetota; Acidimicrobiia; Acidimicrobiales. RNAcentral also lists the same sequence under 1 other name.
GCGCCGGUGGCGGAACUGGCAGACGCGCCGGCUUUAGGUGCCGGUGUCUUUGGACGUGUGGGUUCGAGUCCCACCCGGCGCACCA